CUACGGGAGGCAGCAGUGGGGAAUAUUGGGCAAUGGGCGCAAGCCUGACCCAGCAACGCCGCGUGAGGGAAGAAGGUUUUCGGAUUGUAAACCUCUGUCCUUGGGGACGAAGAAGUGACGGUACCCAAGGAGGAAGCUCCGGCUAACUACGUGCCAGCAGCCGCGGUAAUACGUAGGGAGCAAGCGUUGUCCGGAAUUACGGGGCGUAAAGGGUGCGUAGGCGGCAUAUUAAGUCAGGUGUGAAAUACUCGGGCUCAACCCGGGGGCUGCAUUUGAAACUAAUAUGCUUGAGUGUGAGAGAGGAAAGUGGAAUUCCUAGUGUAGCGGUAGAAUGCGUAGAUAUUAGGAGGAACACCAGUGGCGAAGGCGACUUUCUGGCUCAUAACUGACGCUGAGGAACGAAAGCGUGGGGAGCAAACAGGAUUAGAUACCCGCGUAGUC
This 441-nucleotide ribosomal RNA is filed under the name uncultured bacterium. RNAcentral describes it as "partial 16S ribosomal RNA". It matches the Rfam family "Bacterial small subunit ribosomal RNA", at positions 339 to 795 of the family's 1533-position model. The record is from RNAcentral.